AAGACCAGUCAGAACUCUCAGUUCCAAUCUGAAGAAAUAUGAGAGGUGAAAAGAUUGUGUUUUAUAUGUGGCUAAGCUUUUAGGGCGGUCUUCUGCAUGUAGAAAACUCAGAAUUCAUUUCCCUUGUGUGCCUGCCUCCGGCUUCUAUCUGCAUCAUUCCCUGCCCAGGACUGACUGCAAGUUCCCAGGCUCUGAGGUUUCCUGGCUGGUAGCGUAGUGAAAGGUGAAAGUUUGCACCUCCUUUAAGUAGAGAAGAAAACUGAAAUUUGGCUUACUACAUCUUAUCCACAUGCCCUGAUCACUGGGGCAUUGGGUGAAAGAGGAUUGUCACUUUACCCCAUGUCAGCUAGAAGAGUGAUAGCUGACCUGUUGUCAGUAGAAAAGUGUUCAUGUGAACAACUCACCAAGAUGUCAGGUGUGUGAACUCUAAAAGAGGAAGAUGGGCCUCCUUCUGAAAAAGCUGCUGUCAAGAUAAAUGGAAAUCAGUUUCCACAAGCCAUCAAGAGAUGUCCAGUGAAAAGAUCUUUCUUUUGGCUCUGUGUGGAAAAACCUGCCCAUGCACGACUGCCUCAAGGAUCUGACAGGAGGAAUUGAGUGUGCUGCCAAGAUAUUAAAUGAAAUUCCCAGGAAGACAUUAAGUUCACUAAAAGAGCCUCAAAGACAGAGAGGGAAGGAAAUGGGCAAGCUCUCUGCUGAAGAUUUCCCUGGAGGAUAACCAUCAACAUGGGACUGUACUAGAAGAAAGAUCCCUUGAGGUUGUGCUUUGUCGCCAGCACAAGCCAGUGAGGGAUACCUGGGGCUAGCCAUGGUAGAAAACUGGAGGAUUCUGACCCAGCCUGGAGAAGGAACAAAGGCUUACAGCCAGAGCAAUGGUCACUGCCAUCCGUCACUUCUUCACUCUUCUGUCUGACAGGAGACAAGGUGAACCUCUUCUCAUCCCUUUGGGGGCACUCUGCCCCUUGUCAUCUCUUCGUCAAGCAGCAGUGACAGCACCGACAUGAGCUGAAGGUGCACAAUGUCUUGGAAGGAGGAUCAUGGAGGUGAACACAAUCUUGGAACAAAAGUAAGCCCAAUAUGGAGACAUGCAAUGCUUUCUGACUGAGAAUGUGUUUCCUAUCCAUGAAUCUAAGGAUUCCGUGAUGCUGAAGAUGGCACCCAAGCAUAUUUUGAAUGGCAUUUGGCAAGACUACCCUGUUGUGAUAGGGGAAAGAGCUGAGAGAAAUGGUCUUUUCAGAAUAGUGUCCUGCAAAUGUGGCCAGAGUGGGAUCCUUGUGGAAGGCACAACAGCUUUCCUCUGCAUCUCCUGGCUCCACUGUCUCUACCCUUAACACCAACAUUGGAAACAGAAAAUACAGGUUCUCUGAGGCAGAAUGCAGCACGUCCCAGUAGCAGGAACACAACUGGGAGCACAGCUUUUCCCCACCACCUCCUUAAGGAGUCCAGAUCUUUGGGAACUUCUUUAAAGAUAAACUUUCCUACUGGUAUGUACCAGGAGAGAAAUUCAGUCUCUGAUCUAACUGCUAUUGCCAUUUGAAAGUGAUAUAUUUUUCCGGACGACAAAUUUGAUGUCAGACUUCCCUAUUGGAGUUUACUGCCACCUGAGGACCAAGAAAUGAGCAUAGGUGUACUUCCUAGUGACUAAUUGGAAUGCUUUCUUUCAACUAUUAGUCAUUGUUUUUCCUGCAGGCUAGACCUGUAUUUGUCAUGAGCUGCAAAUUCUCCAAUAAAUUAUGAAUAGGCAUGUAAAUGUUUAAAUCCAUGUGUUUGAAUGAGAGGCAAGACAGGAAAAUAAGAGUAAUUCUUGAUCUGCUCUGAUUUUCACAAUGUGACAGACUGUCAUGGUUAAAAGGACCUUCAUAGAUUUUUUUAUUCACUUCUAUAUUAUUUGCUUGAUGUAAAAUGUAGGUGGAAAAAAAAGAGAAUCAUGGCGAGGUGUCAAGUUAUAACUUAAUUACUUCUAGAGAAUAUACAACUGAACGUGUACAGUGCUAUGUUAUAAAAAUAAAGUACAUGUUAAAUAGA
Molecule: long non-coding RNA, 2022 nt
Organism: Pseudopipra pipra
Lineage: Eukaryota; Metazoa; Chordata; Aves; Passeriformes; Pipridae
Exons: 6
Source: RefSeq, a predicted model, not a curated record